This 473-nucleotide ribosomal RNA is filed under the name uncultured Methanosaeta sp. RNAcentral's name for it is "bacterial SSU rRNA". It matches the Rfam family "Archaeal small subunit ribosomal RNA", at positions 871 to 1337 of the family's 1478-position model. The record is from RNAcentral. Lineage: Archaea; Methanobacteriati; Methanobacteriota; Methanomicrobia; Methanotrichales; Methanotrichaceae.
UUGACGGGGAGCACCACAACGGGUGGAGCUUGUCGGUUUAAUUGGAUUCAACGCCGGAAAUCUUACCGGACCGACAGCAAUAUGAAGGCCAGGCUGAAGACUUUGCCGGAUUAGCUGAGAGGUGGUGCAUGGCCGUCGUCAGUUCGUACUGUGAAGCAUCCUGUUAAGUCAGGCAACGAGCGAGACCCACGCCCACAGUUGCCAGCGUACUCUCCGGAGUGACGGGUACACUGUGGGGACCGCCGCUGCUAAAGCGGAGGAAGGAAUGGGCAACGGUAGGUCAGUAUGCCCCGAAUAUCCCGGGCUACACGCGAGCUACAAUGGUUGGUACAAUGGGUAUCUACCCCGAAAGGGGACGGGAAUCUCCUAAAACCAAUCUUAGUUCGGAUUGAGGGCUGCAACUCGCCCUCAUGAAGCUGGAAUCCGUAGUAAUCGCGUUUCAACAGAACGCGGUGAAUACGUCCCUGCUCCUC